AAAAUUAUUGUGUAGGCCUAAAAUUAGCCACCACUAGAGUUUGUUAUAAAACAAUAAAAAUAUAUAAAAAUAUUACUAUACAUAGCUACCGCAUAAAACUAUAAGAAUAGCAAUCUAAACCUAGAGGUUGUGUACCUAUGCUAAGAUGAGUAUUAAAAUUAUCUAAAAUUUGAAAUAAAUUAUUUCCUGAGACAAUAUUUUUUAUAUAAAUUAAAGAGAAGGAAUUCGGCAAACGUUGUUUCGCCUGUUUAUCAAAAACAUGGCUCUUUGGGGAAAAUAUAUAGAGAGUCGAACCUGCCCAGUGAAUAAUUUUAACGGCCGCGGUACCCUGACCGUGCAAAGGUAGCAUAAUCAUUUGCCUUAUAAUUGAAGGCUGGCAUGAAUGGUCUGACGAGAGCAACGCUGUCUCCUCUUUAUUAUCUAAAAAUUAACUUAUAGGUGAAGAGGCCUAUAUUGAAUUGAAG
This 464-nucleotide ribosomal RNA is filed under the name Thiara amarula. RNAcentral describes it as "partial 16S ribosomal RNA". The stretch from base 199 to 452 matches the Rfam family "Archaeal large subunit ribosomal RNA", at positions 1784 to 2143 of the family's 2987-position model. Lineage: Eukaryota; Metazoa; Mollusca; Gastropoda; Thiaridae. The record is from RNAcentral.